RNAcentral lists this long non-coding RNA (138 nucleotides) under Cricetulus griseus (Chinese hamster). Its description in RNAcentral is "lncRNA (ENSCGRG00000025780.1)". Lineage: Eukaryota; Metazoa; Chordata; Mammalia; Rodentia; Cricetidae. The record is from RNAcentral.
GUGAAGUAACCACCAUAUUCUCGUGUGAACACUCACUAUCUGCAGACCAUUCUAUACACCGGAGUCCUUUUAACCAGCCUGCCAACUGUAUGAUGAAGGGUUUCCACCCAUUAGCUGCCAAAGCUCAAGAAACUGGUG